AGUGGCAAUCAUUUAUUAAGCAUUGCCCUGGCCUAAGACACCACAUGGGUCAUUUCUUCCAGGCUCCAACUUGCUUCUGCUUUGCCAUAUGGUAACACGCCGUAUUAUGGAAGCACCAUCAUUACCGCCAUUUGCAGGGGAAGCCUAAAGAGAUAAAUGCCAGCCAGCAUCCCUGUCUCUGGGGCCCUGGAGAGGCCUUCAACACACCUGGCCUCACUGCCCUGUGGCUUCAACAAAGAGGCCGAGCAUCUCCUAUAAACCUUGAGGUCCAUGGAUGACAUAGCGGAAUGAUGGAUUUCAGAAAAGGCAGGUGCUUCCCACUCUUUAAAUUUUUGUUUAUUCUUUCCAAGUUUCCCAUCAACAGCCCUGCAGUAAAAAUUCAGGGCUUCAGAGACAAAUAUUUCAUGAGUACAGACUGUGAUGAGGAAAAGCAAGCCAUUCCCUCUCUAUCAGGAUCCAGAGCACACUGCUGUUACGACUCCAGAACCGAUAAGGAAGCUAUGUGUGGAAGUAUGAGCUCAGGUCGCCUUCUGACCCUCUGUGACGGUCUAUUUCAGGCAGUUAUGGAUAGAUAACAUUACAGACACUGGGAUCUUUAACAAGUGACACAAACAAGAGAAGAAGCAGACAGGACCAUUUAACUUCAAACUCCACCGAAGAGAGCUGAAUUGUAAGCUUCCUACAGCAAGCCCGGCUGGCGGCUAUGUGGCAGUCUUCAUUUCUCAGCGGAAAAGCCACUCCCUUGAGACUCUCCAGGCACCCCCCAACCGCAUUUUUUAUCAAGUGUCUAAAAGAAAAACAAGAUGUCUGAGAAGGGGAAGGGAGCACCGUUUUCAUACCUGGCUUGGCUUAGCUGCACGAGAGAAGAAAAGGCCGUGGCUGAAUCCAUCUCCAGGAGCAGCUGUCCCCCUGCACCGUUUGAAUUGCGAGGAAAGAGUUACAGUUUUAGAAAAGAAUACCUGACACAAUGAACAAAAACCAGAGCUUUUGAAUACAGAUUUCCAGUAAAACCAAACCCAGCUUGGGUCAGAUGCACCUUUCCAGCAACCACCAUCUCAGCAACAACCUGCCAGCUGUCAACUGGAAGUUCAGCUUCUGGGAACUUCAGCCCCCUUCUCAGAGGAGCAAGGUCCUAGCACCAACAGCACCUGCAGUGGAGCCCAAGUAUGGCUGCUUCAUGGAGAAGGCAGGUAUCUGUUUGCGUGCAAAUCCGUGAGUGCUUGCAUCUCGUGUAUUUGAAAAUCCUGUUUAAGAAUGCAGAGGUCCAUAUAGUGUCAUUAAAACAAAUGAGUAUAACCCUUUGGUCA
RNAcentral lists this long non-coding RNA (1307 nucleotides) under Homo sapiens (human). RNAcentral's name for it is "long intergenic non-protein coding RNA 1533". The record is from RNAcentral. Lineage: Eukaryota; Metazoa; Chordata; Mammalia; Primates; Hominidae.